RNAcentral lists this ribosomal RNA (253 nucleotides) under uncultured bacterium. RNAcentral describes it as "partial 16S ribosomal RNA". It matches the Rfam family "Bacterial small subunit ribosomal RNA", at positions 524 to 776 of the family's 1533-position model. The record is from RNAcentral.
UACGUAGGGUGCAGGCGUUAAUCGGAAUUACUGGGCGUAAAGCGUGCGCAGGCGGUUCGUUAAGUCAGAUGUGAAAGCCCCGGGCUCAACCUGGGAAUUGCAUUCGAGACUGCGUAGCUAGGGUGCGGAAGAGGGAAGCGGAAUUUCCGGUGUAGCGGUGAAAUGCGUAGAUAUCGGAAGGAACACCAGUGGCGAAAGCGGCUUCCUGGUCCAGCACCGACGUUCAGGCACGAAAGCGUGGGGAGCAAACAGG